GACGAACGCUGGCGGCGUGCUUAACACAUGCAAGUCGAACGGAAAGGCCCUGCUUUUGUGGGGUGCUCGAGUGGCGAACGGGUGAGUAACACGUGAGUAACCUGCCCUUGACUUUGGGAUAACUUCAGGAAACUGGGGCUAAUACCGGAUAGGAUCUCCUGCUGCAUGGUGGGGGUUGGAAAGUUUCGGCGGUUGGGGAUGGACUCGCGGCUUAUCAGCUUGUUGGUGGGGUAGUGGCUUACCAAGGCUUUGACGGGUAGCCGGCCUGAGAGGGUGACCGGCCACAUUGGGACUGAGAUACGGCCCAGACUCCUACGGGAGGCAGCAGUGGGGAAUAGUGCACAAUGGGCGGAAGCCUGAUGCAGCAACGCCGCGUGCGGGAUGACGGCCUUCGGGUUGUAAACCGCUUCCGCCUGUGACGAAGCGUGAGUGACGGUAAUGGGUAAAGAAGCACCGGCUAACUACGUG
RNAcentral lists this ribosomal RNA (468 nucleotides) under uncultured bacterium. Its description in RNAcentral is "partial 16S ribosomal RNA". It matches the Rfam family "Bacterial small subunit ribosomal RNA", at positions 28 to 507 of the family's 1533-position model. The record is from RNAcentral.